RNAcentral lists this ribosomal RNA (219 nucleotides) under uncultured bacterium. RNAcentral's name for it is "partial 16S ribosomal RNA". It matches the Rfam family "Bacterial small subunit ribosomal RNA", at positions 126 to 334 of the family's 1533-position model. The record is from RNAcentral.
CUACCCGGCGGCGGGGGAUAACUCAGGGAAACUUGAGCUAAUACCGCAUACAGCACUGGCUUGGAAGCUGGAUGUGAAAGCUGGCCUCUCGAAGAAGCUGGCACCGUCGGAUGAGCUCGCGGCCUAUCAGCUAGUUGGCGGGGUAACGGCCUACCAAGGCGAUGACGGGUAGCUGGCGUGAGAGCGUGCCAGCCACACUGGGACUGAGACACGGCCCAG